RNAcentral lists this ribosomal RNA (253 nucleotides) under uncultured bacterium. RNAcentral's name for it is "partial 16S ribosomal RNA". It matches the Rfam family "Bacterial small subunit ribosomal RNA", at positions 524 to 776 of the family's 1533-position model. The record is from RNAcentral.
GACGAGCCACACAAACGUUAUUCGGAAUUACUGGGCGUAAAGGGCUCGUAGGUGGCCAACUAAGUCGGACGUGAAAUCCCUCAGCUUAACUGGGGAACUGCGUCCGAUACUGGAUGGCUUGAGUUUGGGAGAGGGAUGCGGAAUUCCAGGUGUAGCGGUGAAAUGCGUAGAUAUCUGGAGGAACACCGGUGGCGAAGGCGGCAUCCUGGACCAACACUGACACUGAGGAGCGAAAGCCAGGGGAGCAAACGGG